AAGCCUGACGCAGCAACGCCGCGUGAGUGAUGAAGGCCUUCGGGUCGUAAAGCUCUGUCGGGAGGGAAGAAAUGAUUGAGAGUUAAUACCUCUUGAUUUUGACGGUACCUCCGAAGGAAGCACCGGCUAACUCCGUGCCAGCAGCCGCGGUAAUACGGAGGGUGCAAGCGUUGUUCGGAAUUAUUGGGCGUAAAGCGCGUGUAGGCGGUUUGUUAAGUCUGGUGUGAAAGCCCUGGGCUCAACCUGGGAAGUGCAUUGGAUACUGGCAAACUUGAGUACGGGAGAGGAUAGUGGAAUUUCGAGUGUAGGAGUGAAAUCCGUAGAUA
RNAcentral lists this ribosomal RNA (326 nucleotides) under uncultured delta proteobacterium. RNAcentral describes it as "bacterial SSU rRNA". It matches the Rfam family "Bacterial small subunit ribosomal RNA", at positions 379 to 696 of the family's 1533-position model. Lineage: Bacteria; Deltaproteobacteria. The record is from RNAcentral.